CAGUACCGUGAGGGAAAGGUGAAAAGAACCCCGGGAGGGGAGUGAAAUAGAACCUGAAACCGUGUGCCUACAACCGGUCAGAGCACUUUAUAUGUGUGAUGACGUGCUUUUUGUAGAACGAGCCAGCGAGUUACGGUAUGUAGCGAGGUUAAGGACUUAAGGUCUGGAGCCGAAGGGAAACCGAGUCUUAAAAGGGCGAAAAGUUGCAUGCUGUAGACCCGAAACCAGGUGACCUAUCCAUGGUCAGGUUGAAGCGAAGGUAAAACUUCGUGGAGGACCGAACCACGUUGGUGUUGAAAAACCAUGGGAUGAACUGUGGAUAGCGGAGAAAUUCCAAUCGAACUUGGAGAUAGCUGGUUCUCCCCGAAAUAGCUUUAGGGCUAGCGUUGAGAAUGAGUAGUGGAGGUAGAGCACUGAAUGGGCUAGGGGGCAUAGAGCUUACUGAACCUUAUCAAACUCCGAAUGCCACUAACUUGAAUCUCAGCAGUCAGACUACGAAUGAUAAGAUCCGUGGUCAAAAGGGAAACAGCCCAGACCAUCAGCUAAGGUCCCAAAGUGUAGAUUAAGUGGAAAAGGAUGUGGGAUUUCUAAGACAACUAGGAUGUUGGCUUAGAAGCAGCCACUCAUUUAAAGAGUGCGUAAUAGCUCACUAGUCAAGAGAUCCUGCGCCGAAGAUGUCCGGGGCUAAAAUCUACCACCGAAGCUAUGGGUGUACACUAGAUGUACGCGGUAGGGGAGCGUCCUAUGUUGGAAGAAGUUGUACCGAAAGGAGCAGUGGACGACAUAGGAGUGAGAAUGCUGGCAUAAGUAGCGAGAAGUGAGUGAGAAUCUCACUGGCCGAAAACCUAAGGUUUCCUGAGGAAGGCUCGUCCGCUCAGGGUUAGUCGGGACCUAAGCCGAGGCCGAAAGGCGUAGGUGAUGGACAAUCGGUUGAUAUUCCGAUACCACUAUAAGCGUAUGACCAAUGGGGUGACGCAGGAGGAUAAGAUGUGCUAACUAAUGGAUGUUAGUCUAAGCACUUAGACAGUAAAGAUAGGCAAAUCCGUCUUUAUAAUGUUGAGGUGUGAUGGGGAAGGUGCAAGCACCGAAGUAUCUGAUUCCACGCUGCCAAGAAAAGCCUCUAGGGAGCAAAGUAGUGCCCGUACCGCAAACCGACACAGGUAGGUGAGGAGAGAAUCCUAAGGCCAUCGGAAGAAUUGCAGUUAAGGAACUCGGCAAAUUGACUCCGUAACUUCGGGAGAAGGAGUGCCAUAGAAAUAUGGUCGCAGAGAAUAGGCCCAAGCAACUGUUUAGCAAAAACACAGGUCUCUGCUAAAGCGAAAGCUGAUGUAUAGGGGCUGACGCCUGCCCGGUGCUGGAAGGUUAAGGGGAACACUUAGCAUAAGCGAAGGUGUGAACUUAAGCCCCAGUAAACGGCGGCCGUAACUAUAACGGUCCUAAGGUAGCGAAAUUCCUUGUCAGGUAAGUUCUGACCCGCACGAAUGGCGUAAUGACUUGGGCACUGUCUCAACUGCAAAUCCGGCGAAAUUGUAGUGCCAGUGAAGAUGCUGGCUACCCGCGAUUGGACGGAAAGACCCCGUAGAGCUUUACUGCAAUUUAGCAUUGAGUUCCGGUAUUGUCUGUACAGGAUAGGUGGGAGGCUGAGAAAUAGGAUCGUCAGGUCCUAUGGAGCCACCCUUGGGAUACCACCCUGACAGUACUGGGAUUCUAACCGGGCACCAUGAAGCUGGUGACGGGACAUUGUUAGGUGGGCAGUUUGACUGGGGCGGUCGCCUCCAAAAAAGUAACGGAGGCGCCCAAAGGUUCCCUCAGAAGGGUCGGAAAUCCUUCGAAGAGUGCAAAGGCAGAAGGGAGCCUGACUGCGAGACCAACAAGUCGAGCAGGGACGAAAGUCGGGCUUAGUGAUCCGGUGGUACCUCGUGGGAGGGCCAUCGCUCAACGGAUAAAAGCUACCUCGGGGAUAACAGGCUGAUCUCCCCCAAGAGUCCACAUCGACGGGGAGGUUUGGCAC
This 2011-nucleotide ribosomal RNA is filed under the name human gut metagenome. RNAcentral's name for it is "bacterial LSU rRNA". It matches the Rfam family "Bacterial large subunit ribosomal RNA", at positions 496 to 2524 of the family's 2925-position model. The record is from RNAcentral.